This 611-nucleotide unclassified non-coding RNA is filed under the name Hevea brasiliensis (rubber tree). The record is from RNAcentral. Lineage: Eukaryota; Viridiplantae; Streptophyta; Magnoliopsida; Malpighiales; Euphorbiaceae.
CACUUGGCCAAAACAUAUGGGUCAGAUGGACCAUCUCUAGCUUGUACUUCAAGCCGCUUCAAGUCAGCCAUGAACCGUGCAAUUUGUUGUUCAAAAGACAUCACGUUUGGAGGCAGUAGGCCACGAAUGUGAAGACGAUCACGUUCUGUAAAUGAGAAUGCUGUUCCCUUGUUAAACCAUGGAUCGUGAAGAAUAUCAAGACUACGCUUAUGAACAAUAGUAGGACGAUGACCUUCCGUUGUAGUAAAAUUUCUUGAAGAAGAUGAAUUCACAGCAGCAGCAACUCUUUGAUGUAAACGCCUCAGAAUAGUUGAGGAAAGUCGCAUUUGAUUGGAAAAAUUCGCCAUUUUUCUGGAUCGAAGAGAAACAGUGAAGAAUGAAGAUCAAGCGAAAGUGAAACUUGUUAAUAAACCCAAUAAAUAAAUAAUCACGAUAUUCGAUGUAGAGUUUUCACAGUGUUCAGUGGCCGGAAAAGCUUAAACGAGUGGUAAUUGGUUAAUUCCUUGCAUUUUUGUGACUAAUUUUGUCGGCUGAAUUCCAUUGACAAAAGAAUGUAAAAAUCGAGCGUGUUUAGACCCGGCUCAUUUAUGACACAAUUAUAUGUUCACCGU